UCGGCUCAUCACAUCCUGGGGCUGAAGUAGGUCCCAAGGGUAUGGCUGUUCGCCAUUUAAAGUGGUACGCGAGCUGGGUUUAGAACGUCGUGAGACAGUUCGGUCCCUAUCUGCCGUGGGCGCUGGAGAACUGAGGGGGGCUGCUCCUAGUACGAGAGGACCGGAGUGGACGCAUCACUGGUGUUCGGGUUGUCAUGCCAAUGGCACUGCCCGGUAGCUAAAUGCGGAAGAGAUAAGUGCUGAAAGCAUCUAAGCACGAAACUUGCCCCGAGAUGAGUUCUCCCUGAGACUUAGAGUCUCCUGAAGGAACGUUGAAGACGACGACGUUGAUAGGCCGGGUGUGUAAGCGCAGCGAUGCGUUGAGCUAACCGGUACUAAUGAACCGUGAGGCUUAACCUUACAACGCCGAAGCUGUU
RNAcentral lists this ribosomal RNA (416 nucleotides) under Escherichia coli. RNAcentral's name for it is "bacterial LSU rRNA". It matches the Rfam family "Bacterial large subunit ribosomal RNA", at positions 2532 to 2925 of the family's 2925-position model. The record is from RNAcentral. Lineage: Bacteria; Pseudomonadati; Pseudomonadota; Gammaproteobacteria; Enterobacterales; Enterobacteriaceae.